CAGUAGCCACGGUAAUACGGAGGAUCCGAGCGUUAUCCGGAAUUAUUGGGUUUGAAGGGUGCGUAGGCGGAUAGAUAAGUCAGUGGUGAAAGACGGUGGCUCAACCAUCGCAGUGCCGUUGAUACUGUUUAUCUUGAAUAUGGAUGAGGUAGGCGGAAUGUGGCAAGUAGCGGUGAAAUGCAUAGAUAUGCCACAGAACACCGAUUGCGAAGGCAGCUUACCAAGGCAAAAUUGACGCUGAGGCACGAAAGCGUGGGGAUCGAACAGGAUUAGAUACCCCCGUGUCCCUGUCUCUUAUACA
Molecule: ribosomal RNA, 301 nt
Filed under: uncultured bacterium
Lineage: Bacteria
Description: partial 16S ribosomal RNA
Rfam family: Bacterial small subunit ribosomal RNA
Source: RNAcentral